UCCAUGCUUUGCUAGUCCACCUAUGAGAUCACCACGGGCCCUCAGUGUCCUCUCUAGGAUGCACACACAUCUAAGAGAGCCUCAUCUGCACCUGAGGACUCUCCUCUGCGUAAGCCACCUCACUGCUUCCUCCAGUCCAAGGCAGGGGCGUCCCGCCGCUCACCGGAAGUGAAUCUCGCCGUCCAGUUCCAGCCAACGUCCUCAACCCUUGAGCCGGCCCAAGGCGGUGUCAGGGACACGCCCUAUUUGGGAAUAUUAGUCACAUAGCCUGCACCUUCUCCCCAGCUUAUCUGUCCAGCUCACUCCGUCCCCGCCUCUUAGAAGAUGAAUCACUCACGGAUUGAGAAGCAAAACCGAGACUGGACCAGGAACUCCAGUGCCCCACUGCCCUCGAAGAUAAAUUUUUGAAGGCCUGCUUGCUUUUUCACAUCUAAUCAAAGCAUUUCUGUGAUAUUCCCUCAUUUGAAGUUUACCUUGGGGAAGCAAACACAAUGCCUUCCAAGUAUAAUACUCUCCAUAUUUU
This is a non-coding RNA of Myodes glareolus (Bank vole), 523 nucleotides long. NCBI's taxonomy places the organism in Eukaryota, Metazoa, Chordata, Mammalia, Rodentia, Cricetidae. The record is from RefSeq and is a predicted model, not a curated record.